ACGCCAGUCUGGAAACUGUUGCUGUCGUCGCGUGCGGGUUGACGCGCAGCGGUGCGUUUCUCGGGCGCGUUUGGGGAUGUGAGUGAGUGACCCGCGUCCAGAUCAGCGCAACGCGUGCAGGUGUGUGUGUGUGUGUGUUUGUGUGUGUAUGACGGACAUCAUCAUGCUCAAAGGCUCUCAGUGAUCCGCUCCUUCCCAUGAUUCCACACCAGGCCGCCCCAUGCCAGCCCGUAACCACGACGACUGCUCGCCCCCGUGAGCUCCUCCUCUGUCGCCCGGUGGCCGUUUGACUGGAUGAGGAACCCAGCCUCCAGUGAUGUGAUGCACAGGUUUGAGGUUCUUGGGAUUGUGGGGGAAGGAGCUUACGGUGUCGUCCUGAAGUGCAGACACAAGGUGAGAUCUCAGACACACAAGUUCAUGUCGUUUUUAAACCCACAAAACACUAGUCA
This 449-nucleotide long non-coding RNA is filed under the name Sinocyclocheilus grahami. RNAcentral describes it as "lncRNA (ENSSGRG00000032464.1)". The record is from RNAcentral. Lineage: Eukaryota; Metazoa; Chordata; Actinopteri; Cypriniformes; Cyprinidae.